RNAcentral lists this long non-coding RNA (2271 nucleotides) under Nicotiana benthamiana. RNAcentral describes it as "long non-coding RNA (NBEN_LNC042171)". Lineage: Eukaryota; Viridiplantae; Streptophyta; Magnoliopsida; Solanales; Solanaceae. The record is from RNAcentral.
UUUAAAACCAUUUUACUAAUCCAAUUAUCAUACAACUAAUUAUUUGGUUACGCAUUGGGAAUCAUAUCAUGGGAACCGUUCCCACGAUUCACAACAUGUUUAUUUUAUUAAUAAGAUUAAAUUGUGGCCGGGUCACAUAUAUGUACCCCCAGAUUUUAGAAAUUAGGUGUCACUGCUACAUCACGGUAACCGUAUCCGUAGCUAAGAUAAUUAAUAUGCAGGCCAUAGUUCCUUACCUUACAAUCAAUAUCCUCAUAGUUCAAUCUAGCAAUGAUACACUUUCUUAAUUUAUUCACUACUCUAGAUCUAAGACAACCAUCAAUUUAACAGUGAUGGUAUUCGGUAUUGUUCAACAUCAUAAUACAUAUACACAUUAUGUAAUCAGCAGCUUUCCAUCACAGUCCCAAUAAAUAACAACUACAACAUCCAUACUAACUUAAACCUUGAAUAUUUUAACUUUGUGAAGUAUACUAGGGAAUAGAAUACUAAUGCCUAUACCUAACCAAAACUGAAAACAGUUAUUACAAAACCAAACAAAAUAAUAGGUGCUAAAUAAAAGAACAAGAUCUGAAAGACCAUUCCAACCUAAACAUGUUAAAAACUUCAACUUGUCAUUUCAGAGGUUGUAAAGAUACCCGGAUAUAACCAAAACAAAUAACAAAACUUUAGAAAAAGACAAUGAAACCAGCAGUGUUUAGCAGCAAUAGCACCCAGUAUAAUACAUAUUCAGAACCAAAAAUCAGCAAAGUAUUGAAUGCUCCUUUCUUUUUCAAACCCGUGAGAAUUGAAAUCAACUACUUAAUAGAAUAGUAUUCGAGACUUUUUUUAGUGUUUUCCACUUCUGAAAAUCUAUAUACGUGUCCCCUUUAUGACUGAAAGAAUGGGGCUAUUUAUUGGGCUAAAAGGGCAUGUGAUGGAUGGAUUACUAAUCAAGGAAAUAUUCACUUCAGCCUAAAAAAGUCAUCUAUAACCACCUCAGAUAGCUGGCUGUCCCUUAUUGGCUCAUCAUUUUGUGCUAACCAAAUGGGGACAACUGCCCCCCUAUUUCUAGAACAUUCCUAAGGCAGCGUUAUCCUAUUCCCCAAGUUCAUGACUCUCAAAUGACCUCCAUAAGUUUUCAUUCUAACCAAUUAACCCCCCAGAAAUUACAAAUUGAAGCAAACAAAACAAAACUCGAAUUAAAAAUAAGGAAAAACCAAACCGACCAAAAUUUUAAUUCAAUUAAGCUUUUUAACUAUACCUAAGUUCUUUUGCUCAGAUAUUAAAAUAAAAAAAGAAACAAGAAUACAAGCAGUAUUUACCAAACACUAAUCAUAAGAAAAUGCAAUUAACCAACUAAUUCAUGCAAGCUAACACAGAAGACAAGCAUGAAAACUAAACUCAAUCCAAGAAACAAACAAAAACACCAUUAACUAGCCUAGCUAAAUCAAUUUAAACUUUCUGACCUUAAUUAGUUAAACAGGAAAUUAGAAUAAAAUCAACCUAACCAAUGACGACCAUUGAAAGAAACAGAGAUGCUUGAGGAACUUUGAAUUGACACGAACAAAUAAAAGAGAAAUACUGGACAGUGAAUAAGAACACCAAAGAGAAGAAUUCUUACUAAGAAAAAUGGAGGAGAAACUAAUAGACUUGGGUUUGAAUUUUGAUAUAGCUUACAAUCAACCUCAAAUGGUUAUUCUAGUCAAGAAAGACUAUUCGGGGGUGAAUUUUGAUAUUAUCAACUUCAGAAAAAAUGAGAGGCGGCAGUCAUGUAUGGCCUAGGGCUCUUAUAACUCUGGGAUCCAGGGCUUGCCGAUUUACAAAAGGUUUGAUGAGGGAUAUCUGGUGAUUAGUGGUGAGGGAAAAACAUGUGUUGUAGGAUGUGAAUUCAUGGUGGUUUAAGUGAGUUUGGAUUUUUCGGGUUUGGUUUUCUGAUCUGAAAUUGGAGGAACUUAGCAGGGAUUUGAAGGAAAAUGUUUGAGGAUUUAGAAUAAGGAGAGGAUAAGGAUUUUAGGAUAUUAAUUUGGAUAUAUUUUUAGUGUUGUUGCCGCUAUGAUGCAAUUUCUAGCGACAAACAAGGCGGAGCCAGUGAAGGUUCCUAGGUGACUAGGGUUUGGUUUCAAUACAGGGAAAUGGCGAAAUUGGGGGGGGGGUUGAAUGGGGUGGACCAGGUUUCGGUCAUAUUUGUAUAAAACAAAUGCCCAAUUCACAGCCGUUUGGAUCACAUAAGAUCAACGGCUAUGAUGAUAAAAGCCCAAAACGGGGUUGUUUGGUAUGAGGUUGAGCUGGAAC